UUUAUGGAGAGUUUGAUCCUGGCUCAGGAUGAACGCUGGCGGCGUGCCUAAUACAUGCAAGUCGAGCGAACAGACAAGGAGCUUGCUCCUUUGACGUUAGCGGCGGACGGGUGAGUAACACGUGGGUAACCUACCUAUAAGACUGGGAUAACUUCGGGAAACCGGAGCUAAUACCGGAUAAUAUUUCGAACCGCAUGGUUCGAUAGUGAAAGAUGGUUUUGCUAUCACUUAUAGAUGGACCCGCGCCGUAUUAGCUAGUUGGUAAGGUAACGGCUUACCAAGGCGACGAUACGUAGCCGACCUGAGAGGGUGAUCGGCCACACUGGAACUGAGACACGGUCCAGACUCCUACGGGAGGCAGCAGUAGGGAAUCUUCCGCAAUGGGCGAAAGCCUGACGGAGCAACGCCGCGUGAGUGAUGAAGGUCUUCGGAUCGUAAAACUCUGUUAUUAGGGAAGAACAUACGUGUAAGUAACUAUGCACGUCUUGACGGUACCUAAUCAGAAAGCCACGGCUAACUACGUGCCAGCAGCCGCGGUAAUACGUAGGUGGCAAGCGUUAUCCGGAAUUAUUGGGCGUAAAGCGCGCGUAGGCGGUUUUUUAAGUCUGAUGUGAAAGCCCACGGCUCAACCGUGGA
This 636-nucleotide ribosomal RNA is filed under the name Staphylococcus haemolyticus. RNAcentral's name for it is "bacterial SSU rRNA". It matches the Rfam family "Bacterial small subunit ribosomal RNA", at positions 1 to 619 of the family's 1533-position model. Lineage: Bacteria; Bacillati; Bacillota; Bacilli; Caryophanales; Staphylococcaceae. The record is from RNAcentral.